ACAUGCAAGUCGAGGGGCAGCAUGGUCUUAGCUUGCUAAGGCUGAUGGCGACCGGCGCACGGGUGAGUAACACGUAUCCAACCUGCCGUCUACUCUUGGCCAGCCUUCUGAAAGGAAGAUUAAUCCAGGAUGGGAUCAUGAGUUCACAUGUCCGCAUGAUUAAAGGUAUUUUCCGGUAGACGAUGGGGAUGCGUUCCAUUAGAUAGUAGGCGGGGUAACGGCCCACCUAGUCAACGAUGGAUAGGGGUUCUGAGAGGAAGGUCCCCCACAUUGGAACUGAGACACGGUCCAAACUCCUACGGGAGGCAGCAGUGAGGAAUAUUGGUCAAUGGGCGAUGGCCUGAACCAGCCAAGUAGCGUGAAGGAUGACUGCCCUAUGGGUUGUAAACUUCUUUUAUAAAGGAAUAAAGUCGGGUAUGCAUACCCGUUUGCAUGUACUUUAUGAAUAAGGAUCGGCUAACUCCGUGCCAGCAGCCGCGGUAAUACGGAGGAUCCGAGCGUUAUCCGGAUUUAUUGGGUUUAAAGGGAGCGUAGAUGGAUGUUUAAGUCAGUUGUGAAAGUUUGCGGCUCAACCGUAAAAUUGCAGUUGAUACUGGAUGUCUUGAGUGCAGUUGAGGCAGGCGGAAUUCGUGGUGUAGCGGUGAAAUGCUUAGAUAUCACGAAGAACUCCGAUUGCGAAGGCAGCCUGCUAAGCUGCAACUGACAUUGAGGCUCGAAAGUGUGGGUAUCAAACAGGAUUAGAUACCCUGGUAGUCCACACGGUAAACGAUGAAUACUCGCUGUUUGCGAUAUACGGCAAGCGGCCAAGCGAAAGCGUUAAGUAUUCCACCUGGGGAGUACGCCGGCAACGGUGAAACUCAAAGGAAUUGACGGGGGCCCGCACAAGCGGAGGAACAUGUGGUUUAAUUCGAUGAUACGCGAGGAACCU
RNAcentral lists this ribosomal RNA (928 nucleotides) under uncultured bacterium. RNAcentral's name for it is "bacterial SSU rRNA". It matches the Rfam family "Bacterial small subunit ribosomal RNA", at positions 53 to 971 of the family's 1533-position model. The record is from RNAcentral.